Molecule: ribosomal RNA, 440 nt
Filed under: uncultured bacterium
Lineage: Bacteria
Description: bacterial SSU rRNA
Rfam family: Bacterial small subunit ribosomal RNA
Source: RNAcentral
CCUACGGGGGGCUGCAGUGGGGAAUAUUGCACAAUGGGCGCAAGCCUGAUGCAGCGACGCCGCGUGAGCGAUGAAGGCCUUCGGGUCGUAAAGCUCUGUCCUAAGGGAAGAAUAAUGACGGUACCUUAGGAGGAAGCCCCGGCUAACUACGUGCCAGCAGCCGCGGUAAUACGUAGGGGGCGAGCGUUAUCCGGAAUCACUGGGCGUAAAGGGUGCGUAGGCGGCCCUGCAAGUCAGGAGUUAAAUCCCUCGGCGGAACCGAGGGAAGCGCUUGAAACUGUAGGGUUUGAGUGGCGGAGAGGAGAGCGGAAUUCCUAGGGGAGCGGUGAAAUGCGUAGGUAUUAGGAGGAGCGCCAGUGGCGAAGGCGGCUCUCUGGACUGCAACUGACGCUGAGGCACGAAAGCGUGGGGAGCGAACAGGAUUAGAUACCCCAGUAGUC